Molossus molossus (Pallas's mastiff bat) is the source of this 107-nucleotide small nuclear RNA. The record is from RefSeq and is a predicted model, not a curated record. NCBI's taxonomy places the organism in Eukaryota, Metazoa, Chordata, Mammalia, Chiroptera, Molossidae.
GUGCUUGCUUGGGCAGCACAUAAACUAAAAUUGGAACGAUACAGAGAAGAUUACCAAGGCCCCUGCGCGGAGAUGACACAUAAAUUUGUGAAGUGUUCCAUAUUUUU